GAUGAAGAACGUAGCGAAAUGCGAUAAGUAGUGUGAAUUGCAGAAGUACCGUGAAACAUCGAAUCUUUGAACGCAAAUUGCACUCUCUGGUAUUCCGGGGAGUAUGCCUGUUUGAGGGUCGCUUAACAAACCAUCGAUUUCGUUGCUUUUUUUUUUAAAGUGAUGUUUAUCGGAUUUGAGCCGUCUUUUUUUUUUUAUUUAAGUGGCUUAAAAUUGUUUUUUUUGGUACGAUCGAAGCGUAUUUUUAUGAUCAAUUUUUGGUUAAAGAAACGCACACGUACCGUUAUUUAUAUGAUGUAAUACGUUUGACUAUUGGAUUUAGUUCAUUCGUAUACGAUAUCUUUCAAUAUUUGACCUCAAAUCAGGUAAGAACACCCGCUGAACUUAAGCAUAUCAAUAAGCGGAGGA
Molecule: unclassified non-coding RNA, 408 nt
Filed under: soil metagenome
Description: partial contains 5.8S ribosomal RNA, internal transcribed spacer 2, and large subunit ribosomal RNA
Rfam family: 5.8S ribosomal RNA (bases 1-121)
Source: RNAcentral